GGGAAGGUGCCACAAGCACAGUGAAGCAACCAUUAAGGGUAACUUGUGAUCUUCAUCACAAGUUUGGUGAGUUUUCUUAUAAUUUUUUUAGUUUAGUUUUUAUUUAUUUUUUUUUUUAUUCUCUUUUCUUUUAUUUUUGUUUUAAUUUCAAUUUGUGCAUUCCUUGUUGGAUUCGAGACCAAGAGGGAAUCCUGGUACAAGUUGAAGAAAAGAGCCUUAGUUGAAUAUCAUUUUUUUU
RNAcentral lists this long non-coding RNA (238 nucleotides) under Vitis vinifera (wine grape). RNAcentral's name for it is "long non-coding RNA (VVIN_LNC003631)". Lineage: Eukaryota; Viridiplantae; Streptophyta; Magnoliopsida; Vitales; Vitaceae. The record is from RNAcentral.